CUAUGACGUCUGGUUGAAGUUUUCCUCCUCUCCGUUGGUGUCGAUAAACGUGAGUCUCCCUUUCGUCCUAUGACGUCUGGCUGAGUUUUCCUCCUCUCCGUUGGUGUCGAUAAACGUGAGUCUUCCUAUUCGUCCUAUGACGUCUAGUUGUAUCUGUCCCCUUGUGGAUUUACCUCUCCGUUGGCCUUGGUAAACGUUGAGUGUUUCCUAGUUGCCCGUUGGCAUCUAGUUGUGAGUUCUUUUCCCAUUCAUCGUCAUUGCGAUGUCUGGAUGUGGCCGUACCUUUUGAAAACAAAAAAAAAACAACAAAAAUACCCAGUAAUAAGAAUCAAAUCCCAG
This 339-nucleotide long non-coding RNA is filed under the name Lathyrus oleraceus (garden pea). RNAcentral describes it as "Pisum sativum (pea) long non-coding RNA (PSAT_LNC041109)". Lineage: Eukaryota; Viridiplantae; Streptophyta; Magnoliopsida; Fabales; Fabaceae. The record is from RNAcentral.